UACAGAGGUCCCAAGCGUUGUUCGGAUUCAUUGGGCGUAAAGGGUGCGUAGGCGGCGCGGUAAGUCGGGUGUGAAAUCUCGGGGCUUAACUCCGAAACUGCAUUCGAUACUGCCGUGCUUGAGGACUGGAGAGGAGGCUGGAAUUUACGGUGUAGCGGUGAAAUGCGUAGAUAUCGUAAGGAAGACCAGUGGCGAAGGCGGGUCUCUGGACAGUUCCUGACGCUGAGGCACGAAGGCCAGGGGAGCAAACGGG
RNAcentral lists this ribosomal RNA (253 nucleotides) under uncultured bacterium. RNAcentral's name for it is "partial 16S ribosomal RNA". It matches the Rfam family "Bacterial small subunit ribosomal RNA", at positions 524 to 776 of the family's 1533-position model. The record is from RNAcentral.